CCUUAACCUGCUAACUAGCCCGCGCCGCCCUGGCGGCACGCCGGCUUCUUAGAGGGACUAUCGGUGCAAGCCGAUGGAAGUUUGAGGCAAUAACAGGUCUGUGAUGCCCUUAGAUGUUCUGGGCCGCACGCGCGCUACACUGACAGAGCCAGCGAGUACUCCCUUGGCCGGAAGGCCUGGGUAAUCUUGUCAAACUCUGUCGUGCUGGGGAUAGAGCAUUGCAAUUCUUGCUCUUCAACGAGGAAUUCCUAGUAAGCGCAAGUCAUCAGCUUGCGCUGAUUACGUCCCUGCCCUUUGUACACACCGCCCGUCGCUACUACCGAUUGAAUGGCUCAGUGAGGCUUCCGGACCGGCCCCGGGAGGUCGGCGACGACCACCCCCGGCUGGGAAGUUAUCCAAACUCGGUCAUUUAGAGGAAGUAAAAGUCG
This 428-nucleotide ribosomal RNA is filed under the name Sordariales sp. RNAcentral's name for it is "SSU rRNA". It matches the Rfam family "Eukaryotic small subunit ribosomal RNA", at positions 1341 to 1791 of the family's 1831-position model. The record is from RNAcentral. Lineage: Eukaryota; Fungi; Ascomycota; Sordariomycetes; Sordariales.